GGGGGCGUGGCGAAAUAGGUAGACGCACUGGAUUUAGGUUCCAGCGCCGCAAGGUGUAAGAGUUCGAGUCUCUUCGCCCCCACCA
RNAcentral lists this transfer RNA (85 nucleotides) under Acinetobacter baumannii. RNAcentral describes it as "tRNA-Leu". It matches the Rfam family "tRNA". Rfam says of the family: Transfer RNA (tRNA) molecules are approximately 80 nucleotides in length. Their secondary structure includes four short double-helical elements and three loops (D, anti-codon, and T loops). The record is from RNAcentral. Lineage: Bacteria; Pseudomonadati; Pseudomonadota; Gammaproteobacteria; Moraxellales; Moraxellaceae.